AUGGCGUCGCGGCAGUCGCUGCUCCCGAGCUUCCUCUACGCGGCGUCCAGCGGCGCCGCCAUGCCGGACGGGAGGGGCGCGCCCGUCGUCGCCAGGGCGCCGAGCGAGCCGCCGUUCGGGAAGAUCGACAUGUUCUCGCCGGCGUACUACGCGGCCUGCGGCUUCGGCGGCGCCGCCGCGUGCGGGCUCACGCACGCCGCCGUGACGCCGCUCGAUGUCAUCAAGUGCAACAUCCAGAUCGACCCGGCCAAGUACAAGAGCAUCUCCUCGUCGUUCAGCAUCGUGCUCAAGGAGCAGGGCGUCCGAGGCUUCUUCCGGGGCUGGGCGCCCACGUUCCUGGGGUACAGCGCGCAGGGCGCGUUCAAGUACGGCCUGUACGAGGUGUUCAAGAAGGAGUACACCGACAUGGCCGGCCCGGAGUACGCCGCCAAGUACAAGACCCUCAUCUACCUCGCCGGCUCGGCCACCGCCGAGGUCGUCGCCGACGUCGCGCUCUGCCCCAUGGAGGCCGUCAAGGUGCGGGUGCAGACGCAGCCCGGCUACGCCAGGGGCCUGCGCGACGGAUUCCCCAAGAUCGUCAGGGCCGAAGGCUAUGCAGGGCUGUUCAGAGGAAUGGUUCCUCUUUGGGGGCGACAGAUUCCUUACACCAUGAUGAAGUUCGCAACCUACGAGAACAUCGUGGAGAUGGCGUACAGGCACCUCAUCCCCACCCCCAAGGAGCAGUGCAGCAAGCCUCUGCAGCUCGGGGUGAGCUUCGGGAGCGGCUACAUCGCCGGAGUCUUCUGCGCCGCCAUCUCGCACCCCGCCGACAACCUGGUCUCCUUCCUCAACAAUGCCAAGGGCGCCACCGUCGGAGACGCUGUCAAGAACCUCGGCCUCUGGGGACUCUUCACGCGGGGCCUUCCGCUCCGCAUCGUCAUGAUCGGCACACUGACCGGCACCCAGUGGGUGAUCUAUGAUUCCUUCAAAGUCAUGGCUGGACUGCCAACAACCGGUGGGGCUCCUGCUGCUGCCCCAAGGGAAGAAGCCUAA
Molecule: ribosomal RNA, 1032 nt
Filed under: Triticum aestivum (bread wheat)
Lineage: Eukaryota; Viridiplantae; Streptophyta; Magnoliopsida; Poales; Poaceae
Description: partial small subunit ribosomal RNA
Source: RNAcentral